UUUAGCUUCUACGGGAGGCUGCAGUGGGGAAUCUUGCGCAAUGGGCGAAAGCCUGACGCAGCCAUGCCGCGUGAAUGAUGAAGGUCUUAGGAUUGUAAAAUUCUUUCACCGGGGACGAUAAUGACGGUACCCGGAGAAGAAGCCCCGGCUAACUUCGUGCCAGCAGCCGCGGUAAUACGAAGGGGGCUAGCGUUGCUCGGAAUUACUGGGCGUAAAGGGAGCGUAGGCGGACAUUUAAGUCAGGGGUGAAAUCCCGGGGCUCAACCUCGGAAUUGCCUUUGAUACUGGGUGUCUUGAGUAUGAGAGAGGUGUGUGGAACUCCGAGUGUAGAGGUGAAAUUCGUAGAUAUUCGGAAGAACACCAGUGGCGAAGGCGACACACUGGCUCAUUACUGACGCUGAGGCUCGAAAGCGUGGGGAGCAAACAGGAUUAGAUACCCUUGUAGUCGAAUUCU
RNAcentral lists this ribosomal RNA (454 nucleotides) under uncultured bacterium. Its description in RNAcentral is "bacterial SSU rRNA". It matches the Rfam family "Bacterial small subunit ribosomal RNA", at positions 331 to 802 of the family's 1533-position model. The record is from RNAcentral.